This is a long non-coding RNA of Bombus huntii, 4702 nucleotides long. RefSeq lists it as uncharacterized. NCBI's taxonomy places the organism in Eukaryota, Metazoa, Arthropoda, Insecta, Hymenoptera, Apidae. The record is from RefSeq and is a predicted model, not a curated record. The transcript is spliced from 3 exons.
UUCCAAAAUACGCCGAGAGUAUUCCUGAUGGUGAAACGAGCGUUGCUUCAUCGAACGCAGCUAAAGAAAACAACAUCUAUGUAGUUGGUGGUACGAUGCCUGAAAUAGGGGGCGAUAAAUUGUACAAUACCUGUACUAUUUGGGGUCCCGAUGGAACUUUGAUAGCAAAACACCGAAAGGUACAUCUAUUCGACAUCGACAUUCCUAAUAAGAUUACUUUUCGAGAGAGUGAUUCACUCAGUCCUGGUAACUCCCUAACGACGUUCGAUGUGAAGGGCUGCAAAAUAGGUAUUGGCAUUUGCUAUGAUAUUAGAUUCGAGGAAAUGGCACGCAUUUAUCGGAACAAAGGUACAGUAACUUAAUCGAUCAAUACUUAACUAGCAAAAAAUUAAAUAUCUUUCUUAAAUAUAUUCUAUAUAAAAUUAAUAUAAUCUGUAACUCUGUAUAAAAAGAAGCUUAAUUUAAAAAACCAGUAUAUUUGCUGAAAAUGAAACAAAUAAAAGAAUUAAAAGCACAAUAAGAGGACUGUCCUCGCAUAUUCAGAAAUGAUGGAAUGUGAAUCGUGCAACUACGAAGUUAAUUGGUAUUCGGUGGCUUCAUAUUUCCUGCUUCUCUGGGUUAGGUUGCCAAAUGCUGAUAUAUCCAGCGGCAUUCAAUAUGACCACUGGACCACUGCACUGGUCAUUACUUCAGCGUUUCAGAGCGAAUGAUAAUCAAUUAUACGUUGCCUGCAUAUCACCGGCUCGUGUUCCUUAAGCAAGUUACGUCGCAUGGGGACAUACACAGUUGACCAAUCCCUGGGGAAAGAUUCUUUACGAUUUGGAAACUCAAGAGAAUAUGGCAGUCACCGAUAUCGAUCUAAAAGUUGUUGAGGAAGUAAGGGCUCAGAUACCUACAUUUUCUCAGAGACGUACAGAUUUGUACGACACUGUCUGUAAGAAGGAGUAACUCUACACUAAAACAGAAAAUGUUUUUUUAUAAUAUUUCUACUACGAUAUCCUUUUUUUGUGAAUUAUUACUAAUUUCUUAUCAUUUGUACUAAAUGAAUGACUCAAUUAAGAAAACCAAAACGUUAUAAAUAAUAAUCUGUAUAUCUUGUGUAUCAACAUGUAAUUGGAUAUUAUAAUAAUAUAGGAUAAUAAUAUAGGAGAAUAAUAAUAUAGAAAAUAAUACAUGCUUUUAAACACCUUUAAUAUCGAUCACAUAAAUUGUAAUAAUUCACAAUGAUCACGCAUACAUAAAAGACCCUUUGAUAGUAAAAUUUACGAUCAAAACGCAAUUACGUAUCGUUUAACAACAUUUAAUUUAUAACACCUUUUAAACAUUUAGACAGAUUAACACAUAACACUUCUUAUAUAGAAACAUCAAUUCGAAGUUAUCAGCUUGGAGAAAUUGGUCGAUUAAUACCUGUAGAUUGUCUGUCUCGAUGAAAGACUUAAAGAGAGCAAAAACAUGAUAAUGCCGCUAAUAUAAUAUUCCUUCUUUCUUGUAUCUGUCUGCCUCUCAGGUCGUUUUACUAAUUACAAUAAGUAAUUUCGCCUUCUUUGCGCUCUCUUUUAACGCAUUCGAGACCGAAAGAAAUUCAUAUCAGUCAGUAGGCAAGGGUAUAAUAUACAUAUUUUAUAUAUAACUUAUGUAGUAAUGUAUAUAUCAUGUUAAUUUCAUAUUUUUUUCAAUAUAGAAUUAUUAUAUAUAUAUAUUUAACUGUACAUAAUACAUUAUAGAAUAACGUAGUAUAUAAUUUUAUAUUUUAAAAAUAUGAGGCAUACUAUUCAAGAUUGUCGUCGAUUUAAAAUCAAAGUAUGAAAAGGAUACCCUGGAGAGAGUAAAACACAGAAUCAUUCUAACUAAACAUUCAGAUCGUACCGACACCUAGGUAUCGUCUUACAAUUAAAUCUCGGUCUCGAAUGGAUUAAAAUGAAAUACAUACUUGCAGCUUCAACAUCUUCAAUAUCGAGGAGAUUCAAACUUUACAAAUAAAAGCGGCCUGUUCCCCUUUCCACGACAGACUCUCAUACCAUAUCCGCUCUUAUCCAGGCUUUUACUUGAAACCAGCAAUGCGUUCAUUUACAAUUUAAAUUUACCCGGACCAUCCACUGAAUCGUCAGCCCUUUACAAGAAAUGAGAGGGAACGUUCGCCCUUGAACACAUAAAACAAAAAAAAAAAAAAAAAAAUAGAAAAGGAAAAAAACCACAAAUUUUAGUGAAGCUAUUUUAUUGAAACUUAUUAUAUCAUUUUAACAGCUAUAUAUAAAACGUUGAAUUAUUUCCUUUCGCGCUGAGCAAUUUUAUUUCAAAUUUCUAGCUUCAGAAUGAUAAUUACGUAUUUGUAAUUAUCAACAAGCUUUAAAAAUAUGGAAUAUUCAGCCAGAUGAAAUAUAGGUAAAGUAUUUAGAAGAAAAAAGAUUGAAAUGUUUUAUGUAAAACGAUUAAAUUAAGUGGAAAACUGCGCUUCUUCCUGCUCCUCUACAUGGCGCUACGCGGGACUCGCUUCUGAGCACGUCUUUCUCGUUGGAGGCUUCUUCUUUCUUUUCUUUCCCAGUAGAAUUUUUGCACAAUUCUUUCUCCCUUUUAUCAUUAAAUUACCUCUAAUUCUUAACAAUCUUUAAUCUUUGUCUCUUCUUCCCUAUAUAUAUAUUUUUGUUUACUUUUCUCCGUAGCGAAUUUUGUCUUUCUGACGCAGGAUUAGGUUCCUGGACUUAGGGAGUUGCUACACGCCAGCUCCACCAUGGCGACGGCAUUCACUAGGCAGCCUACAUAGCCACCUUUCAGCUCACGCUUCGGGACACUUUUUUCGCUGAGAUUCUCCGCGAUGAGGCAUGAAAGCAGAGACCACCGUCUGCGGAGGCAUGAUUAUUCUAUUGUUCCUUUUAACGAGUAAUCGUUUUACUCGAGUCCUCUCACUAAACCGUAAGUACGAAAGACUAUUAUACUUAGAUAGGUACUUGGUCUCAAGAACCAACUUAUUUUGGUCUUUCGAUUAAGUUCUUAAUUAAAUGCUCAAUUAGAUAUUCCUAAAUAUAUCUUCAUAAUAUUUCCCUCAUCUAUUUCUUUGACAUUCUAGCAACCUCGUUAAGACGUCCGCCACUUCAACUUCUAUCUACAAGUGGCAAAAACUGAAGCUGACCUUCUUCAUGGAGAAACAUGCCGGAAAUGGCAUCCGCACGUGUGAAUAAUUAUACUCAGUGUCCAGGUAGUUCUUUCGAUCAUCCGAUAGAAGUCGUUUCUGUUUUUCAGAGUUCGUUCACGUCUCCAGAAUGUAAAAAUAUCCAAGGAAGUACCAUUAGGAAGCAAUGAAAUUCAGAGUUUCUGUGGUUAUUCCUUUUUCUGAUUGUUUCUUUUCUUUGCCCAAAAUGGAUGAUUUCUAUAUCAAAUUGUUUAUUCGUAUUUUUUUUUUAAUAUUCCUUGAGAUUUUCAAUCAACUCGAUUUCGAAUUUUUUAGCACCCGAUCUUCUGGUUGACGUCGUUAAGAAAGAGGAACGAGUGCACAGGAAGCAUGGUCGGCGUGAGCAUGAUUAGAUCCGGUCUGCCCGAUGACCUUGCCAGUGAUAAUAGCGGUUCGUUAAGGUGGUUGCAGUCUUGAUUUGCUUCUGUUUCGAUUUCCAGCGAACUCGUCAGCCGGCAUGGCUUCCGAGAUGCUCCCCCUGAAACAAGUCGAAGGGAAAUAAUUAAUGGACUCUCUGUUCGAUUGUACGUGGAUGACAAGCUGACCGUAAAAAGAAAUAUACAAAUACGAUUAGAAAAUAUAAUCCGAACCCCUUUCGGUUUGAUCUGAAGGUUUCUUUUUCUAGACGGAACCAAAGAUUCUUAUCUGGUUUAUGGUGAGCUAAGGAACUCUUUGAAAACAGCAUUUAUAACUUUCGAAAAAGAGACAGGUAUUUCUUGCGCGAACAAUUGAAUAAUUAAUUCGUUCUCUAAAUAUCCUUAUUUGUUGUUCCUAAAAUACAUAAUGAUUGGAAGCUUCUUACGGGAAGCGCAAUCAGCCGCUGAUAUCAUUGAAGUCGAAACGCCAUUAAAACCAUAUUACGAUUCGCAUGCGACAUGCUCCAUUCAUGAAAACACAAAAGCAAUAAACAAGUACAAAUCAACGAAAUAAAUCCUCCGAGAACGAGACGUUACAGGAAUUAUACCAUUGCGAGGAUACAAAAGACUUGCUCAUGAGCUACUUCCUUCAAGUAGUCGAGCGGUGUAUUUUCCGGUCGUUAACUUCCAUAUAAUGGGAUAUUAAAGAGUACGGACACAACGCUGCUAUUUUUCAACUAUUCAUUAUCAAAUUACGCAGCGGGAAUCGUUGCAACGACAAAACUGUAACGACUCGUACCUGCGUAUCUUCCAUUUAGCUGCGGUAAACGCUGACUUGUCUGCGUUUUUUUUUUUCACUUCCUCGUUACGGAAACCAGGAAAAGUGAUUCACAAUACAGUUUCUAACUGUACUUCUCGCGAUUCUUUCUUAGAAACAAGCAAUUGCUUCUUUUCAAUUUCCUAAAUCUAUAAUAAAACAGUCCAUUCCUUGAAUAGAAAUUAACUUUAAAACUUUAGGCGCAUACAUUGUACGUAUCGUAUGUAUGUAUUUUGAUUUGAAAAGAAACGCGGCAAACGCCUUUGAAAAGACGUUAGGUUUUCAACACCUUAACUAACUUAAUUCCAGCGAGUUGCAAAUCUGCUGCAUCUCCAACAUCUGAAUAUCAAUCUUUUACAAUGA